Molecule: transfer RNA, 77 nt
Filed under: Escherichia coli
Lineage: Bacteria; Pseudomonadati; Pseudomonadota; Gammaproteobacteria; Enterobacterales; Enterobacteriaceae
Also listed under: 38 other names
Description: tRNA-Met
Rfam family: tRNA
About the family: Transfer RNA (tRNA) molecules are approximately 80 nucleotides in length. Their secondary structure includes four short double-helical elements and three loops (D, anti-codon, and T loops). Further hydrogen bonds mediate the characteristic L-shaped molecular structure. tRNAs have two regions of fundamental functional importance: the anti-codon, which is responsible for specific mRNA codon recognition, and the 3' end, to which the tRNAs corresponding amino acid is attached (by aminoacyl-tRNA synthetases). tRNAs cope with the degeneracy of the genetic code in two manners: having more than one tRNA (with a specific anti-codon) for a particular amino acid; and 'wobble' base-pairing, i.e. permitting non-standard base-pairing at the 3rd anti-codon position.
Source: RNAcentral
CGCGGGGUGGAGCAGCUUGGUAGCUCGUCGGGCUCAUAACCCGAAGGUCGUCGGUUCAAAUCCGGCUCCCGCAACCA